UUCGCCUUUGCAGACUCCGGCAGCUUUAUCGCCAGAGUCAUUCAAAACUCGCUUUCUUUUUAGUCCCCCACUUCAGAUCACCGGCGUGCCCCACCAUGUCAGACGAAGCUGUAGACACCAGCUCCGAAAUCACCACCAAGGACUUGAAGGAGGAGAAGGAAGUUGUGGAAGAGGCAGAAAAUGGAAGAGAGGCUAACGGGAAUGCGAAUGAGGAAAAUGGGGAGAAGGAGGCUGACAAUGAGGUAGAUGAAGAAGAGGAAGAAGGUGGGGAGGAAGAGGAGGAGGAAGAAGGUGAUAGGAGGAGGAUGGAGAUGAAGAUGAGGAAGCUGAGUCUGCUAAGGGCAAGCGGGCCGCUGAAGAUGAUGAGGAUGAUGAUGUCGAUACCAAGAAGCAGAAGACCAACGAGGAUGAUUAGACAGCAAAAAAGGAAAAGUUAAACUAAAAACACACACACUAAAAAAAAGGCUGCCGUGACCUAUUCACCCUCCACUUCCAGUCUCAGAAUCUAAACCUGGUCACCUUCGAGCAGAGAGGCCGGCCCGCCCGCCCACCCCGGACAGUGCCACCCGCAGAUGACACGACGCGCUCUCCACUACCCAACCCAAACCAUGAGAAAUUGCAACAGGGGAGGAAAAAAGAACCAAAACUUCCAAGGCCCUGCUUUUUUUCUUAAAAGUACUUUAAAAAGGAAAUUUGUUUGUAUUUUUUAUUUACAUUUUAUAUUUUUGUACAUAUUGUUAGGGUCAGCCAUUUUUAAUGAUCUCCGAUGACCAAACCAGCCUUCGGAACGUUCUCUGUCCUACUUUUGACUUUAUUUGUGGUGUGACCAUGUUCAUUAUAAUCUAAAAGGAGAAAAAAAACCUUGUAAAGAAAAGCGAAAACGACAACAGAAAAACAAUUGUAUUCCGAGCAUUCCAGUACCUUUGUUGUGUAUGUACUUAGCUGUACUAUAAGUAGUUGGUUUGUAUGAGAUGGUUAAAAGGCCAAAGAUUAAAAGGUUUUCUUUUUUGUCUAUGAAGUUGCUGUUGA
Non-coding RNA from Callithrix jacchus (white-tufted-ear marmoset), 1029 nucleotides. NCBI's taxonomy places the organism in Eukaryota, Metazoa, Chordata, Mammalia, Primates, Cebidae. The record is from RefSeq and is a predicted model, not a curated record.